This 410-nucleotide ribosomal RNA is filed under the name Bacteroidota bacterium. RNAcentral describes it as "Bacteroidetes bacterium partial 16S ribosomal RNA". It matches the Rfam family "Bacterial small subunit ribosomal RNA", at positions 355 to 776 of the family's 1533-position model. The record is from RNAcentral. Lineage: Bacteria; Pseudomonadati; Bacteroidota.
UGGGGAAUAUUGCGCAAUGGGGGAAACCCUGACGCAGCGACGCCGCGUGCGGGAUGAAGGCCUUCGGGUUGUAAACCGCUUUUGAUUGGGAGCAAGCUUUCGGGUGAGUGUACCUUUCGAAUAAGCGCCGGCUAACUACGUGCCAGCAGCCGCGGUAAUACGUAGGGCGCAAGCGUUGUCCGGAUUUAUUGGGCGUAAAGCGAGCGCAGGCGGUUAGAUAAGUCUGAAGUUAAAGGCAGUGGCUCAACCAUUGUAGGCUUUGGAAACUGUUUAACUUGAGUGCAGAAGGGGAGAGUGGAAUUCCAUGUGUAGCGGUGAAAUGCGUAGAUAUAUGGAGGAACACCGGUGGCGAAAGCGGCUCUCUGGUCUGUAACUGACGCUGAGGCUCGAAAGCGUGGGGAGCGAACAGG